Molecule: ribosomal RNA, 539 nt
Filed under: Bacillus subtilis
Lineage: Bacteria; Bacillati; Bacillota; Bacilli; Caryophanales; Bacillaceae
Description: bacterial SSU rRNA
Rfam family: Bacterial small subunit ribosomal RNA
Source: RNAcentral
UGCAGUCGAGCGGACAGAUGGGAGCUUGCUCCCUGAUGUUAGCGGCGGACGGGUGAGUAACACGUGGGUAACCUGCCUGUAAGACUGGGAUAACUCCGGGAAACCGGGGCUAAUACCGGAUGCUUGUUUGAACCGCAUGGUUCAAACAUAAAAGGUGGCUUCGGCUACCACUUACAGAUGGACCCGCGGCGCAUUAGCUAGUUGGUGAGGUAAUGGCUCACCAAGGCGACGAUGCGUAGCCGACCUGAGAGGGUGAUCGGCCACACUGGGACUGAGACACGGCCCAGACUCCUACGGGAGGCAGCAGUAGGGAAUCUUCCGCAAUGGACGAAAGUCUGACGGAGCAACGCCGCGUGAGUGAUGAAGGUUUUCGGAUCGUAAAGCUCUGUUGUUAGGGAAGAACAAGUACCGUUCGAAUAGGGCGGUACCUUGACGGUACCUAACCAGAAAGCCACGGCUAACUACGUGCCAGCAGCCGCGGUAAUACGUAGGUGGCAAGCGUUGUCCGGAAUUAUUGGGCGUAAAGGGCUCGCAGGCGG